UGCUCUUGUUUCUCUUCAGAUCACAUAAAUCUUUCGCCUUUUACUAAAGAUUUCCGUGGAGAGGAACAUCAAGAGAUUUUGACAAUUUUUUGAUGCUCUGCUUAACAGUGGGGCU
This is a small nuclear RNA of Neogobius melanostomus (round goby), 115 nucleotides long. Its record names the gene U5. It matches the Rfam family "U5 spliceosomal RNA". From Rfam's summary of the family: U5 RNA is a component of both types of known spliceosome. The precise function of this molecule is unknown, though it is known that the 5' loop is required for splice site selection and p220 binding, and that both the 3' stem-loop and the Sm site are important for Sm protein binding and cap methylation. Lineage: Eukaryota; Metazoa; Chordata; Actinopteri; Gobiiformes; Gobiidae. The record is from Ensembl.